RNAcentral lists this ribosomal RNA (885 nucleotides) under Triticum aestivum (bread wheat). Its description in RNAcentral is "partial small subunit ribosomal RNA". Lineage: Eukaryota; Viridiplantae; Streptophyta; Magnoliopsida; Poales; Poaceae. The record is from RNAcentral.
AUGAGCUUCGCCCCACACCCUAGCUCAUACCAAAACAAUUACUCAUAUGGGUGGCCUGAAAACCAGAAUAUGUCAUAUAGGAGCAACAACCCUGAGAUCUCAUCGUUUGCCUCUAGUUAUCCAAUGCAGGGAUUUAGGUAUGAAGAGGAGAGCAACAAUUAUGCUCCACAACAAUUUUAUUCUGCUCCUAUUCAUAUACCUCAGCACCAGGAGAUGUUGCCAAUGGAGUUAAAUGGUCCUCCAUUUGGUCAACCAGCAACUGCUGAGCAAUCUCAUGUGCAAGUGCCCACACAAGAUGAGUUCGAUGACAUAGACAAGCUCACACUUUUGAGUCUCGAGUUCACUUGGAGUGCCAAGGAUGAUCCUAUUAGGAAGGUGAUACUUGAGGAAAUGAAGAAGAUUGAGAGUGGAAAGGAGCUAGUGGAAGAAGUAAGGAAGAUUGAGAAGAACAUCAACGCUGGCAGUACUAUCUCUUCCCUCCUUGAGUUGAGUGUUGCUGGGAUAUUCCUUGACGUGUGUGAGGUUUCAACACCGUCACAUUCAGCUGAGCAAGAUAGCGAGAGUCCAGAGGAAGAGACACUUCAGAUCCAAGAAGAAAUAUUUGAAGACAAGGAACAAGAUGAUCCAGAGCUGCAAUUCCCAAGUGAUCAAGAUGAAGACAAAAGAUCUAGUACUCUUGAAGAAGUAAAAGAAGCUGCUGUAGAGGAACUUGAAGAACCAGAAAUUCAUUUGCCCAUCGUCAUACAAGAGCGUGACAUAGCAGGUUUUUGCUUGUGCACGAAUCAAUACAUGCUGACCAGGUUCGAGGUGACAUUCCUUGGGACCCUGGUGGACUCAGAGCAUGGGGAUGAGGAGAAGCAAGGGGGCACACACGAAGAAGAGUGA